GACAGAGGUGCCGAGCGUUAGGCGGAAUCACUGGGCGUAAAGGGCGCGUAGGCGGCCGGAGAAGUCGGUGGUGAAAGCUCGGGGCUCAACUCCGAGUCGGCCACCGAUACUGUUCGGCUCGAGUUUGGUAGAGGCAGAUGGAAUUCCGGGUGUAGCGGUGGAAUGCGUAGAGAUCCGGAAGAACACCGGUGGCGAAGGCGGUCUGCUGGGCCAAGACUGACGCUGAGGCGCGACAGCGUGGGGAGCAAACAGG
Molecule: ribosomal RNA, 253 nt
Filed under: uncultured bacterium
Lineage: Bacteria
Description: partial 16S ribosomal RNA
Rfam family: Bacterial small subunit ribosomal RNA
Source: RNAcentral